Long non-coding RNA from Oncorhynchus tshawytscha (Chinook salmon), 1357 nucleotides. The record is from Ensembl. Lineage: Eukaryota; Metazoa; Chordata; Actinopteri; Salmoniformes; Salmonidae.
AGCCCUAUGGGUCCUGGUCAAUGUGCCCUAUUAGAGCCCUAUGGGUCCUGGUCAAUGUGCCCUAUUAGAGCCCUAUGGGUCCUGGUCAACGAGCCCUCUGGGUCCUGGUCACAGUGCCCUAUUAGAGCCCUCUGGGUCCUGGUCAAUGUGCCCUAUUAGAGCCCUAUGGGUCCUGGUCAAUGUGCCCUAUUAGAGCCCUAUGGGUCCUGGUCAAUGAGCCCUCUGGGUCCUGGUCACAGUGCCCUAUUAGAGCCCUCUGGGUCCUGGUCAAUGUGCCCUAUUAGAGCCCUAUGGGUCCUGGUCAAUGUGCCCUAUUAGAGCCCUAUGGGUUCUGGUCACAGUUACCUAUUAGAGCCCUAUGGGUCCUGGUCACAGUUACCUAUUAGAGCUCUGUCGGUCUAGUCAUAAACUUGUAGCCCGUAUUGACUCACUGUGGCUGUAGCUAAACCUGCAUGGACUCCCUGAGUGGUUUCUAUUCUCUUCAGAUAAACAGAGAACCCUGGUGCAGUUGGAGCACACUGAAACCAAUGGGCCUUCGUCAAAUGUAGUGCACUAAAAUGGGGAAUAGGGUGGCAUUUUGACCACUAGCCUGAACAUCUGUCUCUGUUUGUACUGAGAACUGUCUCAUCCGUUUGCCCUUUCACUGUCUUACAACAUGUUGUUGAUCAUUUGCCUGGUCCCAGGUCUGCCUCUGGUUGCCUGGUCCCAGGUCUGCCUCUGGUUGCCUGGUCCCAGGUCUGCUAAGCUAACAAUGCGUGUUGAAGUCGGCAGGAUGGCCCACACACUGUUUCUCAGGACAUGUCUCUGUCUAGUUGUUGCACAUCGUUUCCUUUCGUUGCUCAAGCCAGCCUUGUGCCAUUCUCUUACCUAAUACCAAAGUUGCAGUGCCUGGAUUUACAAAACAUUUCUUAAGGUUUUCAAAACCCAGGCCCUGGUGUACUCAAUGCUCCCUGAGUCUCCGCCUGCUUCCAAACAGCAGUACAGGGGAAGUUGUGUUCAAAGUGAGGGGGAUGGGGGGGGUUCACCUUAACACUUGAACACGGUUAUAAUGCACCAAAUGUAACUAUUAAAUGGCUGUGCAUGUCCCGAUCUGUAGCCGACUGGCUGUGCUGACUGUCUGCUUCUGGCUCCAAUAACAUCACUUCUUCUAUUGUAGAUCCUUUAUGGGUCAAUUAGCAGGAUGUUGCAGUUUAGCUCCAGCUACAACUCUCUAUACCUACCAUAGCUAUACCUCUCUCUACCUACCUACCAUAGCUAUACCUCUCUCUACCUACCUACCAUAGCUACACCUCUCUCUACCUACCUACCAUAGCUAUACCUCUCUCUCUACCUACCAUAGCUAUACCUCUCUCUCUCU